Molecule: ribosomal RNA, 45 nt
Filed under: Pleospora sp. MUT 1683
Lineage: Eukaryota; Fungi; Ascomycota; Dothideomycetes; Pleosporales; Pleosporaceae
Description: partial 28S ribosomal RNA
Source: RNAcentral
UUGACCUCGGAUCAGGUAGGGAUACCCGCUGAACUUAAGCAUAUU